GAUGAAUGCUGGCGGCGUGCCUAACACAUGCAAGUCGAGCGGUAACAGGAGUAGUUUACUACUUGCUGACGAGCGGCGGACGGCUGAGUAACGCGUGGGAACGUGCCCCAGAGUGAGGGAUAACUGCCCGAAAGGGUGGCUAAUACCGCAUAUGGUCUUCGGAUUAAAGGAUUUAUCCGCUUUGGGAGCGGCCCGCGUUAGAUUAGGUAGUUGGUAGGGUAAUGGCCUACCAAGCCUACGAUCUAUAGCUGGUCUGAGAGGAUGACCAGCCAGACUGGAACUGAGACACGGUCCAGACUCCUACGGGAGGCAGCAGUGAGGAAUCUUCCACAAUGGGCGAAAGCCUGAUGGAGCAACGCCGCGUGAAGGAUGAAGGCCCUCGGGUUGUAAACUUCUUUUAUAAGUGAAGAAUAUGACGGUAACUUAUGAAUAAGCACCGGCUAACUACGUGCCAGCAGCCGCGGUAA
Molecule: ribosomal RNA, 467 nt
Filed under: uncultured bacterium
Lineage: Bacteria
Description: partial 16S ribosomal RNA
Rfam family: Bacterial small subunit ribosomal RNA
Source: RNAcentral